Molecule: unclassified non-coding RNA, 2912 nt
Filed under: Hevea brasiliensis (rubber tree)
Lineage: Eukaryota; Viridiplantae; Streptophyta; Magnoliopsida; Malpighiales; Euphorbiaceae
Source: RNAcentral
GGAUCAGCACUGGACCGAAGCCUGAUCGGGGAUAGUAACGACUUUGGGACAACGACUGUUAAGCACUCAACCACUCUCCGCCUUAGUCAAAUCCAGAGGUCCUCUAGGGUUUUACGUUUAGAAUUUCUCUGAAAUGGAGCCUGUGGCUUUGGUUGUAGACAAAAUUAAAGGGCUUGCUAAAUCUGGCCAAGGAUUCGUCGACGGUCUCCUUCAUCGCCGGGAAAAUUUUACUCGCCGAAAUCCGGUACUUGGAAUUUGCGCCCCCACCCCCUUCUUCUUUAUUCUUGCUUGCUGAAAUUGAUCACAUCUACUGUUUUCCUCUCAAUAAUGUAUGAAGUUGUCCUUUUUGUUCUUGUACAUUUUGUUUUUCUUCCAGUUAAUUUGAUUUGGUUAUAUGUCUGGAGAACUGUUGAUCUCUUUAGUGAGAAGGUAGAAAUGCUUCCGAUGUUAUACCCCAUUUUAAGCCAUUUACUGAUUAUAUACUUUUUGGAGUAUCCAAUUUGCAGUUUCUUUGUUUACUUGAUGCAAUCCUGGGCUCUUUAGCUUGUUUGAACUGAAAUUCAACAAUCCGUAUUUCUGUUUCAUGAAAAGCCAUCAUCUCAUAAAGAAAGAAUUAUUAUUUUGAUAAUGUGGAUUAUUUAUCUCUAAUUAGCUCUUCAUAUUGCGAAACAGUGGUACCUGUUGGUCUAAUAGAUCAAUAGCUUAUUUGCCUAACUUAUUUUCAGUUAAUUCAAGUCUAUAUUUGUUUUGCCUGCCAUACCCUUGUUUCAUAUGCGUAUUUGUUUUGCUUCCAGGGCAAAUACACAUUUUACUUGUUGCUUUUGUAGGCUUAUGGAUAUGACAGAUAUUUUCGAACAUAUUACUCUUCAUUUUUAGUUGACUAAUAUUAAAAUUCAUCAUGAAGUUUUUUUGUGGUUUUGAUCUCUUAUCUCCUUGCACUAAAAAGCAGAGGUCUCAUUUAUUUGGAACUUGCACCUAUUUAUGUGUAAUUUGUUAUAUUGGACAGGAACUCGUUUUGUACCUCCUGUUGCAAUUUGCAUUGACCAAUUUUCUGGUUCCAUAGGGAACAACAAGCUGAAUGCUUCAGCUUUACACUGUUCUUAUUAUAUUGUUUUCAGAUUGAGAUCCUGAAGCGGUUGCAACGAGAAGCAUUUUCAGAUCUAAUGAAACUUAGGGACAGGCAAGACAAGGUUGAGCGAACGCUUUCCUUCUAUAAAGCAUCCAAGAGAAGUCCAUUUCAAGAAGCCAGUACCCAUGUGAGGGGAGAGAUUGAUGUGCUGGGGGCAAUAUUAUUGUUGGGCAAUGUUGAUCAGCAGCAUCACGAUGCUCUUGGUAGAGCAGGAAUUAAAACUGGAAUUGAUUCAAGGUUCACUUUUGAAACAACUAUCCGGGAGAAGGACGCGCUUCUGGCUGAGCUUGUGGGAACUACAAAAUGUGAUGACGAAGUUUCACUAAGUGCACUUUCUCUGGCAAAGGUAUCAUACAUAGCAAUUAUUAGUGACUGGUUCUCUGCAAUUGCAUCCCCAGUGGGAGCUCAGUUCAGAGAUCUUGGAAUCACUACCAACUCUUUGAACCAGGUAUAUUCUAUUUGUUAAUAUUGCUGGUUACCUUCAUUUUUUGUUCAUAUGUCAAUUAUAUUAUGUUUCUGUGAUUUCAUUAAAUUGACUGUUAUGUUCUAAUCUAAAUAUAUAUUUGAUGAAAUCACAAACAUUUACCAUGAAUAUUGACUUCUUUUGAUUAGAUCAUCUUAAACAGAUGGAAUGCAUGUUGCUGGUUUCUCACCCGUUUUGAGUGUCAAAUGACAUUUACACUUUUACCUUCUGGCAGUUUUCUUUCUGUUUUUCUUGUGACCAUUAGAUUCCUUCCAUAGGACAAAUUAGUUUAAUUGAUGGAGCAUGGUGCUCUUCCUAAUGCAGUUUGUGAACUCCAUUUUCUGUCAGAACUGCAUUUUCAAUGACAGAUGAUCUCUUCUUGAUCCCUAUGUGUAUUUUCUUUGACUAGGACUGUUGCUAAUAAAGUUUCUAAUAUUUCUGUAAAAUAAUCAGGAUUCUCUUUUUAUUCAAGGGCCUGACUGAUCUUUCAUGUGUUGGGCCACCACUCUUGAAUCAGCCUAAUGGUAGUACAAUUGGCUUGAAAGUAAGAAAAUCAAAUGUGACUGCUUCAAUGGCUCAGUCUGUUUCUGGAUUUGGAAUGCAACCAUGUUCUGAUGGAAUUGGGCGGUGCUUCAGUACAUUCGGCGGACUUGUCUGUCAACUACCUAGAGGAAUAAAACUCUCACUUUUGGGUGUCCACCAGUUACGAAAAUCAUCUAGUCACCAUGCCAAGCUUGGAGCCCUCGCCAUUCCCAUGGCCUUUCUGAAGCAUCAUAAAGCUCCUGAGACAAUGGUCGAAGCAUCUGCUCCAUUGUCAGAAACAAACACCCUUCAAACUUUCUCAACAGGAUCAAUUGCUGUGAAGGUGGAGACAGGACUUGAUGAGAACACUACAAUUAGUGGUUGGAUUGAAAUGAACAAUUCGAAUUCCAACCCGUUACAAUGGGCUGUCAACUUGUUCGAUGAUUCUGAAGAUGAAUCUGGAUGGGGUAUGUGUGUAAGUGGGAUGAUGGCUGAGGGUUCCCGUAAAUGGACCCAUUUGCAGGCCGAAUCAUACCUAAAAUUAAAUUUAGGGAACAAAUUCAGUAUAAAACCAGGCAUUGCAUAUGCAGUGGAAAGUAAUGCCAGAAUAUUUGCCCUCAUGCUUCGGUCGAACUGGUCCUUCUGAUUGAUGUCUUCUUUUCUUUUCUAUUUUUCUUUACCAAUCAGAACUAUCUGGUUUCUUGGAAAUUCAAAAUUAUUUUCAGAUAGUUAAUCAUUAUUAUACUGUUAAUAUGUGCAAUUUCUGGAAAAUAAAAUCAAUGGGAAGCAGUUUUAUUA